This 466-nucleotide ribosomal RNA is filed under the name uncultured bacterium. RNAcentral describes it as "partial 16S ribosomal RNA". It matches the Rfam family "Bacterial small subunit ribosomal RNA", at positions 28 to 507 of the family's 1533-position model. The record is from RNAcentral.
GAUGAACGCUGGCGGCGUGCUUAACACAUGCAAGUCGAACGAUGAAGCCCAGCUUGCUGGGUGGAUUAGUGGCGAACGGGUGAGUAACACGUGAGUAACCUGCCCUUGACUCUGGGAUAAGCCUGGGAAACUGGGUCUAAUACUGGAUAUGACUUCUCAUCGCAUGGUGGGGGGUGGAAAGAUUUAUUGGUCUUGGAUGGACUCGCGGCCUAUCAGCUUGUUGGUGAGGUAAUGGCUCACCAAGGCGACGACGGGUAGCCGGCCUGAGAGGGUGACCGGCCACACUGGGACUGAGACACGGCCCAGACUCCUACGGAAGGCAGCAGUGGGGAAUAUUGCACAAUGGGCGCAAGCCUGAUGCAGCGACGCCGCGUGAGGGAUGACGGCCUUCGGGUUGUAAACCUCUUUCAGUAGGGAAGAAGCGAGAGUGACGGUACCUGCAGAAGAAGCGCCGGCUAACUACGUG